CUUUUUUUCAUUUAUUAUUUUUUUUUAACAUUUAGAAUUUCUUCUGAGUUUUAAGUUCUGUGAAUCUACAAUUCAGUAGUUUGUCUCUCUUCUGUUUCUUUUCUAGCUAGCCCCUUGCCUCUUAUCUAGAAGAGUUUGUGUGUUGUGUAUAAACCUAUUGAUCAAGAAAGUAUCCUGUUAGAAAAUCCCUGCAUCUACCUUAAGAGAAGAGCAUGCUGAGGGAGUGCAAACCUGCAAGGAUACACAGAUAAAAUAAUUCUACUUAGAAGUUUUUGUACAGAAUUGAUAAAGCAGAGAGAGACAUCCACGCAGUGGCUGCAACUGCUCGGUGAACUUCAGAAGAGGCGUGGGCCUUUUCACGAGGGAAAGAGAUGUUCUCUCCGGGCCUGAACCUAAGGGCCAUAAAACACUAGGUUUUAGAGAGGUGGCGAUUCCAGUAACCUGCAAAAAAAAUGAUCUGCUGUGCUCUCCAGAGGCAGAUUAUUGAACAGCUUUCCUUGCCUG
This 504-nucleotide long non-coding RNA is filed under the name Suricata suricatta (meerkat). RNAcentral's name for it is "lncRNA (ENSSSUG00005002692.1)". The record is from RNAcentral. Lineage: Eukaryota; Metazoa; Chordata; Mammalia; Carnivora; Herpestidae.